GAUGAACGCUGACAGAAUGCUUAACACAUGCAAGUCUACUUGAACUUCGGUUUGGGUGGCGGACGAGUGAGUAACGCGUAAAGAACUUGCCUCACAGUUAGGGACAACAUUUGGAAACGAAUGCUAAUACCUGAUAUUAUGAUUUUAGGGCAUCCUAGGAUUAUGAAAGCUAUAUGUGCUGUGAGAGAGCUUUGCGUCCCAUUAGCUAGUUGGAGAGGUAACGGCUCACCAAGGCGAUGAUGGGUAGCCGGCCUGAGAGGGUGAACGGCCACAAGGGGACUGAGACACGGCCCUUACUCCUACGGGAGGCAGCAGUGGGGAAUAUUGGACAAUGGACCAAAAGUCUGAUCCAGCAAUUCUGUGUGCACGAUGACGUUUUUCGGAAUGUAAAGUGCUUUCAGUUGGGAAGAAAAAAAUGACGGUACCAACAGAAGAAGUGACGGCUAAAUACGUG
Molecule: ribosomal RNA, 454 nt
Filed under: uncultured bacterium
Lineage: Bacteria
Description: partial 16S ribosomal RNA
Rfam family: Bacterial small subunit ribosomal RNA
Source: RNAcentral